ACACUUUGGUUCUGAAGCUGAAGAAGAGGCCCUGAAAAUGAGCUGUUACUCUAAGGUUUAAUGUUUUGGAGCAGGACCCUGUUCGGCCAGCAGGGGGCGCAAGCACAAAGAUGAUGGUCAAAAGUUAAGGGACUAAGAAUGGAUUCACGUUCAGAUAUUUACUAAAACAGAUGUCACUAACAUUCAUUUAAGAGGAAUUUGUUUUGCUUCAGAUAAGUUUUCUUCAGCGUUAUUGUAAACUUCUAAACAGGUUUUUUAAAAUGAUUUAUUUAUUCUGAAUAGUUGUAGAUGUUAGUUUUCCGCCAAGUUUUUAUACAUUUUUCAGAUUGACGAGGUGUGAAGAUGAUUGUUUUACCUGACCAGACCAGAAAAAACAAACAUGUUGGAUUAAGAAAUGUUUUCACACCCAACGAGGGUCCAGCAGGAGGUCAAAGUUGUAGGUAAAAACAAAACAGAAAAAUAGAUAUUUACAGUUCUUUAAACAAUAAUUAAACACUGAUUUGUUCAAAUUAAGCAUGAAGUGAAACCGUCUGCUCAAAAUAGUCCUUUGGUUAAAAGAGAGGCAACCAACAUAAUCCAAAACAUCGUUUGUCCUGCAGUGAACAAAGAUCCACCAUUUUCUGUCUUUGGAAGAUAAAGUCCUCUGGGUAAAUAUCUCAAACACAGAACUGAGGGCACAGAGGGACAGUUGUGGUUUGAGAGAUAAACUUUAACACUGAGCUCUAAAAUCUUUUCAAAUCUCAUAUUUCCAUAAACAGUGAAAAAAAUAUUCACCCUGAUGAUUGUUACACUUAUAGAUCAAGCUAUCUAGUUAUUCACUUUAUUGAUCGUGUGUACAACACUUUGAUUAACUGCUGUCUUCUUAAAGGUGCUUUAGAAAUAAACUUGACUUAAUCCUGAAAUCAUUGUGAUUCUGAGUUUGGCCAUCAUCGAGCAGCCCUAGUUAUGAUAAACACCUAAAGCCUUGAAUGACUUCCACCGCUGAUCAGAUAAAAAAUCCAAAGUUUCAGUAAAAGUUCAAACUCUCUUAAAAAAGGACCAAAAGUUCGACUCUUUUCUAAUAACUGAGCGGGAGCAGAGAGCGUGAUUCGCUCUUUUCUAAAUCUAAAGUGUGUUAAAAUGCGUCUUUGUGUUUACAGAGGUCUUUGGAGGGUGUUUAGGUUUGAGUCAGGAAUAAGGAAGGAUGUUUAAAUAAAAGAUUACUGAGUUUUCCUGUGAAACCGCAGACUAAAGGUUUGGAGACAUGCCUUAGGAACUGAGUUUGUCUUCAGGUAUGAUAAACACACUUUAGACUGAGAAGAAAAGUUUGAUUCUGGUGGGUUUGUGUCCUCCGGCUCUCUGCAGGUAAACCAGCUGUGAUGUUCAGUCCAGGUAAACCUCCACAGAGAGAACCAGACUGACUGACAGACAGCAGCUCCAUCCAUCCUCGCUCUGCAGCAGAUCCUCUUUCAGUCCAGGUCCCGUGUUUGUUGUCACUCCCCGCGGCCUACAAGCUAAAACGUUGUCUUUCACGUCUCUCCUGUCUAACUUUACCCCUCCCCCCCCUCAAAGCUUCUCCUCCCUCUGCUGUUUCUUCUCCAGCGUCGGCGCUCUGAAACGUGAGACCAUCCAUUAAGCCGGACAGGAAGGUCUUGACGGGAGGUCAGGCCCUCGUCUGCAGGGCACACUGCAGCAGGUCUGGUCAGAGCCAAGGUCAACACCGAGCGUGUGCGUGUGUGUGUGUGUGGACACGAAACCCAACAGACAUCACUCGAACAAUAAAAGAGACAGAAGAAGAAGAAGAAGAAGAGUCCAGCACGCCCCCCGCCGUCCUCCAGGUUUGAUAAAUGGUCUCUCUUUGGUGUUUAAAUGUGGGACACCUUUCUAAUCUCUCCAUCGGUGAUGCUCCGCCUGCAGGUCACACAAAUACUGACGAUACAGCCCUCCGCCAAACUCUUAGUUAUCAUAUAAACAACAUUAAUCAUGGAUCAGACGAGCAGGAUGGUGCGUGGCAGCGUCGGUGCCCCCAGCAUGUUUUAGAGUGGCACCACUCGAGAGGAACAAACCCUGAAACCCUCUGAAGAGAGAUUAAUGAGAACCCAGAACCCGCUCCGCACAAACCAGCGCUCUCUUUUUCAGGAGCGGAAUCAACAAACGAUCAAACCCGAUUUAUUGACUUUACACUUCUGAAAUGAUACUGUAGGAGAUUCUGACUACAUCAAGAUGAGGGAUUCCACCGCAUGCAGAUCCGCUCCGUUAGAUCAAAUACUCAAGCAUACAGCGCCCACCGGAUCCAACCGGUAUUACCGAUUUUUCUCAUGAAACUGGACGAGCUCUUACGUGUUUCACCGUGAGACAUAAAUGAGAUCAGCGCUGUAUUUUAACACCCUGGCUCCUCCCAUUAUCACGUGAAUUACAGUUCAGUAUAUUAACUUUAUUUUAUUUUGAAAAUUAAAUGGAUAUUUUACUCUGUAGCCGCAUUAAACUUCCACUCAUGCUGCACUGACAUGAUGAUUUGUGCUGCAACCUGAUAAAACUGAAACCUUGCGUAUCUAAUCGGGCCGCCGGAGCCGAUCCACAGCGGAAGUAUUGUUUGGAAUCACGCACAUUGAUUAUUAUGCUUGUGUUUUUGAUCAGGCAGCUGUUCUGUAUCCUGUGGAAUUUAGCCGUAAGGAUGUAUGCUGAUUUCGAGUUACCAUGGAAGUCAGAUAUCAGAGCUGAAAACGACGUCACACCCGAGUCCCCAGCGUUUCAGUCACCAAGUCGGACAAAAGCAAAAUCAGAGGCGGAAAGAAGAUGGCUACAUCUACGAAAAUUAUUUUAGUUAUUCGGACAAGGCAAGCGCUAAAAUAACUUCAGUAGAUGUAGCCAUCUUCUCUCCACCUCUGAUUUUCUUUUUCUGACUCCAGCAGGACGUCUGCAGCAGCGAUCCAGAGGAGCCUACAGCAUGACGGAGCUCAGAGACUCCCAGAAAAGACUGAGUAUCACGAGUCUUCAUGAGGAUUCAAAGUUCGUGUCAUGUGGGACGGGCAGAAGAAAUCCAGGUACUUCACUGUGUGGUCUCAGGUUUUACAACGUGGUGUGAAGCUCAAAGAGAAGCUGCGUCGUCUCUGGAGAGCAUGAGCGGAUAUUUACGAAAGCUUUUAAUUCUUAAUCUCCACUUGAGAGCCGUGAGGUUGAAUCCGGCGCCACACCCUGCGGAGGGUUAAAGCCGGAUUAUUUCCUGUUUAGAAAGACGGUCCAGCAGCAUUCGACAGAGGAAGGUGUGGACUUGUAAACUUUUGUUUCUCAUGAAAAUCUGCUGACCUUUCAGUCUUUAUAUCAACUUGAAAACCACGAACUCGUUCUGUUUGUUAAUCGGCUUCAUCGGCGUAGUUUGAAGGGCCGAGCUAAAAAAACCGAACAUAACUCACCGUCUCCUCCCGCCCAGAUUUUCCCAGCUGGUGAAGAAGUCAAAUUAAUGAUUCUAAUGAUUUUUAUGGGAGACGCGCAGCAGGAUUUAUAUGUGUUAUUGUCCGCCCUGACAGUUCAGGAUAAAUCUCUGUGGGUAGCAUCGGAUAAACUCUGCAUCAUCGUGUAUCUUCCCAGAAACAUUUUGUUUUUGACCCAGAAAGCAGCAGCAGUGGACGGAUAAAUGUGGAUCACAGGGUAAAUAUUUAGAUUUCUGGGACUGAUGGACGAGCCGAAGCCGUUCUCUUGGCUGGCCUUCCUCGCUGUCUCCCAUCCCAGGACACGGGAAACCAGUUAAAAAGACAUUUCCCAAACAUCCACGUCCA
RNAcentral lists this long non-coding RNA (3755 nucleotides) under Xyrichtys novacula (pearly razorfish). The record is from RNAcentral. Lineage: Eukaryota; Metazoa; Chordata; Actinopteri; Labriformes; Labridae.